RNAcentral lists this long non-coding RNA (1586 nucleotides) under Daucus carota (carrot). RNAcentral's name for it is "long non-coding RNA (DCAR_LNC002416)". Lineage: Eukaryota; Viridiplantae; Streptophyta; Magnoliopsida; Apiales; Apiaceae. The record is from RNAcentral.
CCCGAUUAUUUACAAAAUACUACAAUUAUGGGAAUAAAAUCAUAUAAAAGCAUAUAUAAAUAUAUGCUCUAUCAAAUAUCCCCACACUUAGUGUUUUGCACGUCCUCGGACAAAUAAAAUAAAUAAAACUAACACCUAAUAGAUAUAUACCACUUCCGUAGGUGAUCACGGUUGCAUUUGGCAUAUGCAACAAGCCCUUUAAACCCCUAGGCAGCCCUAGUGGACGAGUAAGGUCUCGUGAGGGCCUAUAGUGAAUGUACCCACAAAAUUCAUUUUUUUUUUCUUUGCCAAGUCUUAAGAAUGCAACUAAUAUGAAUGCAGACUAACUGAAUAUGCAUAGAUCCCAAUCAUGAAAUUAUCAACCUUGUCAACAUAUCUGCCAAGUCUUAAGAAUGCAACUAAUAUGAAUGCAAACUAAAUGAAUAUGCAUAGAUCCCAAUCAUGAAAUUAUCAACCUUGUCAACAUAUAAUCCUCAGAAUAUGCAACAAUCAAGGAUUUCAUCUAUCACACAUAUUAGUCAUGCAACUCUUUCACUGCAAGUACGGAGUGCAUCGUGUGUGCUCAACAUGCUCUCUAAUGAAACGAAAUAGAGACCAACAAAGUUCAACAGAAUCUUAACCAUGAGUCGUUAAUCAGAAUAAUGCUUAAACACUUCGUUACAUUAGAGCCAACUACAGUUUAGGGUCACCAAGGAACUUCCAUGCCUCUCCUAUAUAUGCUUCUCUUUUUUUUCUCUUUUUCUUUUUUUUUUUCAAUAUCUAUUAUUUGGUGUGUACAUGCUAAGACCAACAGACUUCAACAGAAUCUUAGCCAUGAGUCGUUAAUCAGAAUAAUGCUUAAACACUUCGUUACAUUAGAGUCAACUACAGUUUAGGGUCACCAAGGAACCGAGGAACUUCCAUGCCUCUCUUAUAUAUGCUCUUUUUUUUUCUUUUUUUCAAUAUCUAUUAUUUGGUGUGUACAUGCUCGGUCUAAGGUCGGGACGCUUCUCAGUGUAAAUGAGUUACGACCACCAUAAGACUUCACCAACCAAAUUGUUCACAUGCGGUUUAGGUGGCUUAUUUGACCGUGCGAUGGUUGAGAUCCCAAAAGAUUUAUGCACUAAUACCCAUUUAGCGAGUGUUGGGUCAGUAAUCCCAAACCAUGAAAGGCUUUAGGUUACUAGGCACAAAGUCCCUUCAGACUUAGUUACUCGAGUAUUAAUGAGCCCAACCUAGUCAAUUAUACCACCAUUUUUUUUUUCGUGAACUUUAUUGCUAAUACAUGUAUCUAUUUUCUCUCUCUAUUUUUUUUUUGAAAGGCAUGUAUAUCCAAAAGCUCCCCCUCACUUAAGAAUUAUAGACUCUAAGCUCAAAAGGGAAUAGUCAAAAUUCUACGCUCGGCUCAUCGUUAAGACUCAAGAAAUAAGCUAGUCUAAAUCUCGCUUCUAGAACAGUUAUUGUGUAAUUACAAGUUCCCGCACAAGCAAUUUCUAAGCAUGCAAGACAUCACAUAUGAUCAAGACUACUAACCAAGAAAUUAUGCAAUUAAACUCAUCAUAGGAAAUUGAUCGACUUGGUCGACAAACAUUCAUGGAAUUAUGCAA